Molecule: non-coding RNA, 245 nt
Organism: Ferroglobus placidus DSM 10642
Lineage: Archaea; Methanobacteriati; Methanobacteriota; Archaeoglobi; Archaeoglobales; Archaeoglobaceae
Rfam family: Archaeal RNase P
About the family: Ribonuclease P (RNase P) is a ubiquitous endoribonuclease, found in archaea, bacteria and eukarya as well as chloroplasts and mitochondria.
Source: Rfam
GAGAGGUGGGGGGCGGCUUCCCGGGAGGAGGAAAGUCCCCCCACCGUUAACGGCGGGACGCCGCAAGGCGUCACGCCGAGAGGCGUGGCUCCGGCACAGAAACGACACCCGCUUGGGGAUACGCGAGGAGGCCGAAAGGCUGAGAUCACCCAAGCGGGAUGAAACGCGCCGUCCCCGCCGGUGCAAGGCGUAAGCCGCUGAGACGAAUGCCGCCUUAAACAGAAGGGGGCUUACCACCACCUCUC